AGUGGCGAACGGGUGAGUAACACGUGAGCAAUCUGCCCCUGACUCUGGGAUAAGCGUUGGAAACGACGUCUAAUACCGGAUACGAACUGAGAUCGCAUGGUCAUCAGUUGGAAAGAACUUCGGUCAGGGAUGAGCUCGCGGCCUAUCAGCUAGUUGGUGAGGUAAUGGCUCACCAAGGCGACGACGGGUAGCCGGCCUGAGAGGGUGACCGGCCACACUGGGACUGAGACACGGCCCAGACUCCUACGGGAGGCAGCAGUGGGGAAUAUUGCACAAUGGGCGCAAGCCUGAUGCAGCAACGCCGCGUGAGGGACGAAGGCCUUCGGGUUGUAAACCUCUUUUAGCAGGGAAGAAGCGAAAGUGACGGUACCUGCAGAAAAAGCACCGGCUAACUACGUGCCAGCAGCCGCGGUAAUACGUAGGGUGCAAGCGUUGUCCGGAAUUAUUGGGCGUAAAGAGCUCGUAGGCGGUUUGUCGCGUCUGCUGUGAAAAUCCGAGGCUCAACCUCGGACCUGCAGUGGGUACGGGCAAACUAGAGUGCGGUAGGGGAGAUUGGAAUUCCUGGUGUAGCGGUGGAAUGCGCAGAUAUCAGGAGGAACACCAAUGGCGAAGGCAGAUCUCUGGGCCGUAACUGACGCUGAGGAGCGAAAGCGUGGGGAGCGAACAGGAUUAGAUACCCUGGUAGUCCACGCCGUAAACGGUGGGAACUAGAUGUGGGGUCCGUUCCACGGAUUCCGUGUCGCAGCUAACGCAUUAAGUUCCCCGCCUGGGG
RNAcentral lists this ribosomal RNA (772 nucleotides) under uncultured bacterium. Its description in RNAcentral is "bacterial SSU rRNA". It matches the Rfam family "Bacterial small subunit ribosomal RNA", at positions 94 to 878 of the family's 1533-position model. The record is from RNAcentral.